RNAcentral lists this ribosomal RNA (253 nucleotides) under uncultured bacterium. RNAcentral's name for it is "partial 16S ribosomal RNA". It matches the Rfam family "Bacterial small subunit ribosomal RNA", at positions 524 to 776 of the family's 1533-position model. The record is from RNAcentral.
AACGUAGGACACAAGCGUUAUCCGGAGUUACUGGGCGUAAAGGGCGUGCAGGCGGUCUGCUAAGUGAGGCGUGAAAGCCCCUGGCUAAACUGGGGGUAGUCGUUUGAGACUGGCAGACUAGAGGGUGGUAGAGGCGUGUAGAAUUCCGGGUGUAGUGGUGAAAUGCGUAGAGAUCCGGAGGAAUACCAGUGGCGAAGGCGGCACGCUGGGCCAUUACUGACGCUAAGACGCGAAAGCAUGGGUAGCGAACGGG